CUUAACCAAGGAAUCACACUCCAAAAAAUGAAGUCUAGAUUUGCGAAUCUCGAGCUAUAAGGAAAACCUCCUGGGAGCAUAGGAAUUGUAGACAAUUCCCAAAUUCGUCUCGAAUGCGCACAUUCAAAAAGCGCAUGAUUAAUUGUCUCGAUUUCAACGCCACAUUUUUUACAUACCGUGUCACACUGAAUCUUGCGAGAAGCUAAGGCGUCCAUGACCGGAAGUGUACCCGUGGCAAUUUGCCAAAUAAAAUGCUUGAUUUUUGGUGGAGUGCGAAUAUGCCAUGCAUACGCUUUUAGAGCAGUAUAGCUUGGAUUCUCUUCCGCCUCUCCUAUCAAAUUAUGUGCUAGCCAGUACCCAGAUUUGAC
This 368-nucleotide long non-coding RNA is filed under the name Capsella rubella. RNAcentral's name for it is "long non-coding RNA (CRUB_LNC005049)". Lineage: Eukaryota; Viridiplantae; Streptophyta; Magnoliopsida; Brassicales; Brassicaceae. The record is from RNAcentral.